AAAGCACCCUAGAGAGAUGCAACACAGCAGAAAUGGAACCGCUGCGAUUGCAAAAGUUGAUCACCCAUUGCAGAGCACAUCUAACAUAGCAGCAAACAUAUCUUUUGGAAACAGCCCAAUGAUCCCUCUGCCAAAUCCAGGCUUUGAGUGUUUGCCCAAGUAAGAAAGAAGCAGAUCCAGGAAGAAAACAGAAUCUUUGCUGACCUGGGCAGGAGGCAGCUGAGCUGAACGGCACUGGGUAACAUCCAGUCCAGCCUAGCUCCCUCAAAAGAUGCAGUGUAAUUGGGAACUCUGACACCUUGUUGAAACGUGAGGACAGCUGGACACAAAGAAAACUUUUUCUAGGCUUGAUGGUGAGCACUGUGUGUCCAGACAGGCUUUGGAGAAAAUCGUAACAAAUGCCAGUUCUAAAGAGGAUCUCUUACCUUUCAAGGCUGGUGUUAGGUUUCAAAAUCAGAUUUAUUUCAAUACUUGAUUUUUUGAAGAACAGAUCCUCUGUUGCUCCCUUGCUACCUUUCCAAACAGGACUUCAUUUGCAGGUUUGGAGUGAGGCAUGUAGAUGGAAAGAAGAGAUAAUGAACUUCUCAUUUUAAAGGGGGAAGGAAAAUCAGCUACAUGUAAUCUUGGGUUUAAACAUGUCUGGCAGAAUCCCAGCCUGGAACUGCAAGCCUCCUGUGUGCUCCAUGAGCCCAGGGAGGGCACCUGGUCCACACCAGGAUGCUGAUAUUCAUUUAUCUGUUUACAUGGAUGUCUAUUUCUAUUUUCUUUUGAAUUGCAUACAGUUGAAUUUCAGGCUUUCCAGGAUUCAUAUAGAAAACUUAAUUUAGCUGCAAGUAACAAAACAAGAAACUAGAAAUUCUUCAAAAUAGUCCUGUGACUAUCCUACUGGAAGGACAUUGAAGGUGUAAUAUGAAUAAAGAAACAAUCAUAAGAAAGAUCUCUCUCUCA
Molecule: long non-coding RNA, 948 nt
Filed under: Anas platyrhynchos platyrhynchos (common mallard)
Lineage: Eukaryota; Metazoa; Chordata; Aves; Anseriformes; Anatidae
Description: lncRNA (ENSAPLG00000029477.1)
Source: RNAcentral